This 434-nucleotide ribosomal RNA is filed under the name uncultured bacterium. RNAcentral's name for it is "partial 16S ribosomal RNA". It matches the Rfam family "Bacterial small subunit ribosomal RNA", at positions 29 to 507 of the family's 1533-position model. The record is from RNAcentral.
AGCGAACGCUGGCGGCAGGCCUAACACAUGCCAGUCGAACGAACCUUUCGGGGUUAGUGGCGGACGGGUGAGUAACACGUGGGAACGUUCCUUUAGGUUCGGAAUAACUCAGGGAAACUGGUGCUAAUACCGAAUGUGCCCUUCUGGGGAAAGAUUUAUCGCCUUUAGAGCGGCCGGCGUCUGAUUAGCUAUUUAUUUGAGGUAAUGGAUCACCAAGGCGACGAUCAGUAGCUGGUCUGAGAGGCUGAUCAGCCACAUUGGGACUGAGACACGGCCCAAACUCCUACGGGAGGCAGCAGUGGGGAAUCUUGCGCAAUGGGCGAAAGCCUGAAGCAGCCAUGCCGCGUGAAUGAUGAAGGUCUUAGGAUUGUAAAAUUCUUUCACCGGGGACGAUAAUGACGGUACCCGGAGAAGAAGCCACGGCUAACUUCGUG